CAUGACUUCGUACACUCAAGCUCUUGACCUCGUGAUCAGGUUCCCUUUGAACUUUGACAUCUGGGCCCCUCCUCGCCAAGUAGAAGAUAAGUGUCGCCCGUCUCGUAACAGAUCAC
Molecule: long non-coding RNA, 116 nt
Organism: Haliotis rubra (blacklip abalone)
Lineage: Eukaryota; Metazoa; Mollusca; Gastropoda; Lepetellida; Haliotidae
Exons: 3
Source: RefSeq, a predicted model, not a curated record